AGGGGCUGGCUAGAGCGACGGUAUUGGCCACUUACCGCUGCUGGGGAAGAACCUCUCUCUGCCCCCGGCUCUCAGUCUCCCAUCCUCCAGGCAGCCCCUGCUCCCUCCUUGUGGGGCUCAGCGAAUCGCGGAGUUCUUGUCCAACAAUCCAGAGGGAGCCCUCCGGCUCGCCCUGCCUCCGCGGCGCUCAGGGCUGGAGAAGCGAUACAGAGGGAAGCAUUUUAACAUUCUGUGAAAUCCUACAGGAGAUCAUGGAAGCUAGCCUUACAAUAUACACUACACAGCUAUGGUUGAUACAGGUAUGUGGGGCUUGACAUGAAUGUCACUGGAGUCAAUGGAAGACUCCUGUUAACUUCAGUGGGCUAUGAAUCAGAGCCCUAAUUACCUGCAAAUUAGCUGGUAGGUUCUAGGAGUUCUGCAGAGCAUUUAUGCUCGGUAAAUGGGGAAAGGGCUCUUUACUUCAUUCUGUAGUGACCUCCAUUUUUGAAGUAAUCACUGAGAAAGGUGUAUAGCUCUCCUGCCAGAGAAUAAGUCACCACACCAUGGAACUUGGAAGAUAGCAGGAAGUAAGAAGAAUUGAAGGAUCCCCAAAGAAUCUUCUCUCAAAGAGUCUACUCUUUGUUUCCUGCAUGUUCUAUAGUUUCCUUCAGAGGGAUCUGGUGAACUAAACUGAAAGCUCUGUGUGACGUUGCACUCCAUAUGUUUUAUGGAAAUAUGCUUAUGAGUGUGAAUAUGAUGUAACUGGAAUAUGCUUUAUGCAAAAGGUCUCUUGAAAGGUAUCAUAACAAAGGUUAUAAACUACUGAAUAUAUUCCUCCUAUUUGUAUGCAUGUAUCAUUCUUGUAUCUGAAGCUAGAAAUAUGAAGUAUAACUCUGAGGUCCUAUUGUAAUUAUGCAAAGUGUGGGCCAUUAAUGGUGGUUUAGAAUCUUGAUGGCUCCCAUUGACUAGGACAGUUGGUUGUAAAUGGUUUAUUUACCUGCAAACCUUCCUGUGUACGUGUGGGCCAACCCAGGAAGAAUGAAGACUAGGGGUCUUACAGUGACAUGUGACCAUGUUACAUGAUACUGGGAAUCCAUCUUAAUCUUUGUAUUUUUCCAUUGAUGAGGCAGGGGUGGGGACAAGC
This 1123-nucleotide long non-coding RNA is filed under the name Chrysemys picta bellii (western painted turtle). RNAcentral describes it as "lncRNA (ENSCPBG00000027389.1)". Lineage: Eukaryota; Metazoa; Chordata; Testudines; Emydidae. The record is from RNAcentral.